This is an RNA transcript of Raphanus sativus (radish), 2271 nucleotides long. It is a transcript of the gene named histone-lysine N-methyltransferase family member SUVH2, with no coding region annotated. The record is from RefSeq and is a predicted model, not a curated record. Lineage: Eukaryota; Viridiplantae; Streptophyta; Magnoliopsida; Brassicales; Brassicaceae. The transcript has 2 exons.
CAAAAAAAGUCUUUGAAACCAUUUCGAAAUCAUUAAAAAAAAAAGAAAAACUAAAGUCGGAUCCGGGUCUUGGCCCAAAGCCCAGGUGUUGUAUCCGUUUCCCCCACUACGGAGAAAUGAACACUCCAUUUGCAUUUCCAGACCUUAACCUCGCUCCCCGCGUAACCUCCUCCUCCGCCACCGUGAUGAUGUCACUGCCUCCGAAACUCCACGUCAAGUCCGAACCAAUUGACGAUCAUGCCCCUCCUCCUAGUGCCACUCCCACUCCCUCCGAUAUCUACGCCGAGUACUUCAGCCUCUGCGAACGUGUCGCUUCCGCAUUGGCCGAGCGUAACAACCACCUCGCGAUCGUCCCCGUACCGGACGAAAAACCCCUCCUCCACCACCACCACCACCCUCCGCCGUCGAUCCAAACCCCGCCGGGAUCCGGAGACAACCGCGCUCUCUCCUCCCCCCUCCCGCCGAGGUUCCAGAGACCGCACGAGCUCGCGAGGGUCGCCUUCCAAGGCCCCGGAGACCAAAAACACCACCGAGCGAUCCUGAAACGAUUCCUAGCGAUCUACGACUCCCUCCGCCGCCAUCUAACAGCCGAGGAGAUGCGUCUCCCCGGUCGCCGCCGCAAACCUAGAGCCGAUUACACUGCCUCGAAUCUCAUGAAGGAGCGCGGAUUGUUUCUGAACCAGGACAAACACGUCGUCGGUUCGAUCCCCGGCGUCGAGAUCGGAGACACGUUUCUCUACCGUCUCGAGCUCUGCGUGAUCGGCCUACACGGCCAGCCGCAAGCCGGAAUCGACUUUUUAACCGCCGAACGGAGCUCCAACGGCGAGCCGAUAGCCACCAGCAUCAUCGUCUCGGGCGGUUACGAGGACGACGAGGACACAGGGGAGGUUCUUGUUUACUCAGGGCACGGCGGGCAGGACAAUAAACACAGGCAGCAUCAGCACCAGAGGCUGGAGAGUGGGAAUCUCGCGAUGGAGAGGAGUAUGCACUACGGUAUCGAAGUCAGGGUGAUUCGUGGGUUUAAGUAUGAUAACGCAGUUAGCUCGAAGGUGUAUGUGUACGAUGGGUUGUAUAGGAUUGUAGAGUAUUGGUUUGAUGUAGGGAAGUCAGGGUUUGGGGUGUUUAAGUUUAAGUUGGUUAGAAUCGAAGGACAGGGUGAGAUGGGGAGUAGGAGGAUGAAGUAUGCGCAAGAACUUAGGACGAGGCCGUUGUUAAUUAGGCCUAAUGGGUAUAUAACGUUUAAUCUUUCUGGUGGUAAGGAGAGUGUUCCGGUUUAUCUGUAUAACGACAUUGAUUUCGACCGUGAGCCGGAAGGGUAUGACUAUAUUGCGAGAGCUGCGAUCAAUAGUGUGAUUUCAGGUCAGCAGCACGGAGGAGGGGUUAACCGGGGUUGUGAUUGUAGAUAUUCGUGUGGUAAUGAUUGUUUUUGCGCGAGGAGGAAUGGUGGUGAGCUUCCUUAUGAUGGUGACGGGACGCUGCUGAGAGGGAAGCCUGUGGUGUUUGAGUGUGGGGUUUUGUGUGGGUGUGGUCCGAGCUGUCAGAACCGGGUGACGCAGAAAGGGUUGAGUAAGAGGCUGGAGGUUUUCAGGUCGAGGGAAACAGGUUGGGGUGUUAAGACGUUGGAUUUCAUACAAGCCGGGGCCUUCAUCUGUGAGUAUGCUGGGGUGGUUCUUACGAAAGAACAAGGUGAGAUUGUAUCGAUGAAUGGGGAGCCUCUGGUCUAUCCGGGUCGGUUCGCUGAGAAAUGGAAGAUUUACGGUGAUUUAUCUCGAGUUUACCCGGAGUAUGUUCCGCCGAGGUAUCCUUCUCUUCCGCCGGUUGAUUUUGCAAUGGAUGUGUCCAAGUUAAGAAACGUGGCUUCUUACAUUUGUGACAGCAAAGAACCAAAUGUAAUGGCGCAGUUUGUGUUACAUGACCAUAGUAACUUGAAGUUCCCUCGGGUCAUGCUUUUUGCUUUGGAGAAUAUCUCUCCGUUAACAGAGCUAAGCCUGGACUAUGGCUUGGACGAUAAACUGAAAGAGGAGCGGCUCGCCAUCUGUAAUUGAGUUGUUGUUUCCAUAGCAUGUUUCUGUACUUCUUUUUUUUUUUUGUUGUAUUUGUAUCUUACAAAGAUAGCCUCAAAGGAUUCGUUUUUUGGUGGAGAUGUUGAGUCUUCCCUUCUUUCUGUGAUGAUGUAUGCAAGGCAAGAACAGGAGGCGUAUGCGUCUAUUUUUCAGGUGUAGCUUCUGUCCUCUUUUGUCAGUGUACCUUAUUGUAUUGUGAUGGAGCAGC